UUUUAAAAAUAAUAGCCAUUAUAGUCUUUCAGUGAUAUGAGCAGUUAUACACACGGGAUAAACUAAUACUGGGCCAUUGUAAAUGGAGGUGAAGUCACCAUUUCAUCUCCAUGGUCUAGACAUUG
Molecule: small nucleolar RNA, 125 nt
Filed under: Moschus moschiferus (Siberian musk deer)
Lineage: Eukaryota; Metazoa; Chordata; Mammalia; Artiodactyla; Moschidae
Description: Small nucleolar RNA SNORA20 (ENSMMSG00000021998.1)
Rfam family: Small nucleolar RNA SNORA20
About the family: ACA20 is a member of the H/ACA class of snoRNA that guide the sites of modification of uridines to pseudouridines.
Source: Rfam by way of RNAcentral